GCCUAACUGUAANNNNNCAAUUAAAUUACUAAUUGUUCGCCAAAUAACUACGAGUGAAAACUUAAAAUUUAAAAGACUUGACGGUGCCUCACAACAACCUAGAGGAGCCUGUCCAUAACCGAUACUCCCCGAUUAACCCAACCCCCCCUAGCCCAAAUCAGUCUAUAUACCGCCGUCGCCAGCCUACCUUAUGAAAGAAAAAAAGUAAGCAAAACAGUCCAUACACUAACACGACAGGUCGAGGUGUAACUCAUGGUGGGGCCAAGAUGGGCUACAUUUUCUACCACAGAAAAUACGAAUAAAUUCUGAAAAGAAAAACUGAAGGCGGAUUUAGCAGUACACCUGGAACAAAAUACCCGGUCGAAACCAAUGCAAUGAGGCGCGC
RNAcentral lists this ribosomal RNA (385 nucleotides) under Hemorrhois algirus (Algerian whip snake). RNAcentral describes it as "partial 12S ribosomal RNA". The record is from RNAcentral. Lineage: Eukaryota; Metazoa; Chordata; Lepidosauria; Squamata; Colubridae.